CCUACGGGAGGCAGCAGUGGGGAAUAUUGCACAAUGGGCGAAAGCCUGAUGCAGCAACGCCGCGUGAGGGACGACGGCCUUCGGGUUGUAAACCUCUUUUAGCAGGGAAGAAGCGCAAGUGACGGUACCUGCAGAAAAAGCACCGGCUAACUACGUGCCAGCAGCCGCGGUAAUACGUAGGGUGCAAGCGUUGUCCGGAAUUAUUGGGCGUAAAGAGCUCGUAGGCGGUUUGUCGCGUCUGCUGUGAAAACGCAAGGCUCAACCUUGCGCCUGCAGUGGGUACGGGCAGACUAGAGUGCGGUAGGGGAGAUUGGAAUUCCUGGUGUAGCGGUGGAAUGCGCAGAUAUCAGGAGGAACACCGAUGGCGAAGGCAGAUCUCUGGGCCGUUACUGACGCUGAGGAGCGAAAGCGUGGGGAGCGAACAGGAUUAGAUACCCUGGUAGUCCACGCCGUAAACGUUGGGAACUAGAUGUGGGGUCCAUUCCACGGAUUCCGUGUCGCAGCUAACGCAUUAAGUUCCCCGCCUGGGGAGGUACGGCCGCGAGACGUAAACUUAAAGUAAGUAGUACGACGNGAGAGAGCGACGACGACGACGAGGAGGAGAG
This 605-nucleotide ribosomal RNA is filed under the name uncultured bacterium. RNAcentral's name for it is "bacterial SSU rRNA". It matches the Rfam family "Bacterial small subunit ribosomal RNA", at positions 338 to 1533 of the family's 1533-position model. The record is from RNAcentral.